RNAcentral lists this long non-coding RNA (858 nucleotides) under Phoenix dactylifera (date palm). Its description in RNAcentral is "long non-coding RNA (PDAC_LNC016144)". Lineage: Eukaryota; Viridiplantae; Streptophyta; Magnoliopsida; Arecales; Arecaceae. The record is from RNAcentral.
AAGGGCAUGCGCCAAACAAGGAAGAAAAUCUUCAUACGCUCAAGUGCAACUAAAGGAUUUCUCCUAGGCGCGACACAUCAACAAUCCGCAUGAAGGACAUAUGUCACGGCCUAAGAAGAUCACACGUGCAUCCCGAGAGCGCUUCCCCCUUUGCAUUUCAGCAUGUGACUCGCAUGGGAGAAGUUUGAAUUAGAAUUUGAAUUUUUCUCCAUGUGGUUGAUUAGAAACGUAUUUCAUGCUCACCUUCCCCAUUUGAUUUUCAGCAUCUGACCCGCAUGGGAGAAGUUUGAAUUUGAAUUUUCUCCCCAUGCGGCUGAUUAGGAAGUAGUUUUAAUUAUCCCGCCAAUAAGCCAUGUAUGGCGUAUGAGUCUUAGGUCUAUAUAAGGAAGUCCUAGGCCUUUUGUGAGGCAUAAAUCUUUGAUCAAUUAUCAUUUAGCUCUUUUGAGUUGUAAGUCCCUUAGGGAGUCGGCCGCAAGGCUUAGGCUAGAGUGUAGGAUAAAUCAAUCCUCUCUAGAUUGUAAAUGCUAGAUGGUCCCUUCCCGACCUUACUAGCAUCUCUUUUUCUUUCGUUGUUAUUGGAAUUCGAAGCCACAUCCUUUUCUUCCAUCCGAGUUCAUUGCAUGGUGUGUGUUUCAAGUCGAGCGCUAGAAUAGGAUUUUAGGCGAAUAGGUGAGAGUUUCAAGCAGCAAGAGAUAGUCGCGUUACCCACAAAUCGGUCCUACACAAUCGACAUCGACAAUUCCUCAAGUGUAGGAUCAUUGGCGUGGGGCUCUUGGACCGUGCAUAGCCGACCCCGCCAACACUGGUGCUUUCAUUGAGAUCUUCGUCGGGAGAAGUUCCAAGAGAAGCUCCGUCGAA